CCUGCCUGUGGGCAUAAAACAAAAGAAGGCCUGUGUGCUGAGUUGUGGCACUCCUGGCCCCGGCCUCGACUGCCCAGGUGAUGGAACACAGGCAGAGCUCAAACGGGUCUGUCCCAGCAGGCCCCGGGCGAGGCCACCAACCUUGUCCUCAAUUACCAGACAUUUCUAUUCCUGGA
Molecule: non-coding RNA, 176 nt
Organism: Vicugna pacos (alpaca)
Lineage: Eukaryota; Metazoa; Chordata; Mammalia; Artiodactyla; Camelidae
Source: RefSeq, a predicted model, not a curated record